RNA transcript from Zeugodacus cucurbitae (melon fly), 6933 nucleotides. It is a transcript of the gene named myosin heavy chain, muscle, with no coding region annotated. The transcript is spliced from 19 exons. The record is from RefSeq and is a predicted model, not a curated record. NCBI's taxonomy places the organism in Eukaryota, Metazoa, Arthropoda, Insecta, Diptera, Tephritidae.
GACGUUUUAGAUCACCUCCUUUGGCGCGGAUGCUAUUAGCAAGUGUUUCAUUUAAUUCAAUUUCAGAUUUCUUAUGCGAUUUUCUUAAAUGAACGGUUGCGUUGAAUUAUUAUUUUUUUAAUACGAAUAUUUCAAAUUAAAAUCAAUAUUCAUUGAAAGUGAAAUUGUAUACUUAAAUAGCUGUUGUCAAAGCGUGAAGGAAGCAUUUGGGCUGAGACGACGCGAAACACUUCAAUUAUUUGAAAAGAAGGACAACUUGGCAAAAACUUCGACUUUUGCACUCAAGCCCCGACUCUCACUCGAGUUACAAUAAUAUAAUUUUAAUUAACGUUUUCUGUUAAGAAAAAAGCGAAUCUUUAACCAAGAUGCCGAAACCAGUUGCUAGCCAAGAGGAUGAUGAUCCAACCCCAUACCUGUUCGUGUCUUUGGAACAAAGACGAAUCGAUCAAUCGAAACCCUAUGACUCCAAGAAGAAUUGCUGGGUGCCCGAUGAGAAAGAGGGUUAUCUUCUUGGUGAAAUUAAGGCCACCAAGGGUGACAUCGUCUCCGUAGGCCUGCCCGGCGGCGAGACCAAAGACUUUAAGAAAGAUCAGCUCCAACAAGUCAAUCCUCCGAAAUACGAAAAGGCCGAGGAUAUGUCCAACUUGACAUAUUUGAACGACGCCUCUGUACUCCAUAACUUGAGACAGCGGUACUACAACAAACUUAUCUACACCUACUCCGGUCUUUUCUGCGUUGCCAUCAAUCCUUACAAGCGUUACCCCGUAUAUACCAACCGUUGCGCUAAGAUGUACCGUGGCAAGCGCCGUAAUGAAGUGCCACCACAUAUUUUCGCCAUUUCUGACGGUGCCUACGUUGACAUGUUGACCAACCACGUCAAUCAAUCUAUGUUGAUUACUGGUGAGUCUGGUGCUGGUAAGACUGAGAACACGAAGAAGGUAAUUGCGUACUUCGCCACUGUCGGCGCCUCAACCAAGAAGGAUGAAUCGCAAAAGAACAAGGGUUCCCUGGAAGAUCAGGUCGUACAAACUAACCCUGUACUUGAAGCUUUCGGUAACGCCAAGACCGUGCGUAACGAUAACUCUUCUCGUUUUGGUAAAUUCAUCCGUAUUCACUUCGGCCCAAGCGGUAAACUGGCUGGUGCUGAUAUUGAGACUUAUCUGUUGGAGAAGGCUCGUGUCAUCUCCCAGCAAUCUUUGGAACGUUCAUACCAUAUCUUCUACCAGAUCAUGUCUGGCUCCGUUGCCGGUGUUAAAGACUAUUGUCUGUUGACCAAUAACAUCUACGAUUACCACAUUGUCUCUCAGGGCAAGGUCACAGUCGCCAGUAUCGAUGAUAAUGAAGAAUUCCAAUUGACCGAUCAAGCCUUCGAUAUCUUGGGUUUCACCGCUCAAGAGAAACAGGAUGUCUACAAGAUCACCGCCGCUGUCAUGCACAUGGGUGGCAUGAAGUUCAAGCAACGUGGUCGCGAAGAACAGGCUGAACAAGAUGGUGAGGAAGAAGGUGGCCGUGUUGCCAAAUUGUUCGGUUGUGACACCGCUGAGCUGUACAAGAACUUGUUGAAGCCCCGUAUUAAGGUCGGUAACGAAUUUGUUACCCAAGGUCGUAACGUGCAACAGGUCACCAACUCCAUUGGUGCUCUCUGCAAGGGUGUGUUCGAUCGUCUCUUCAAGUGGCUGGUCAAGAAGUGUAACGAAACUCUGGACACCCAACAAAAACGUCAACACUUCAUUGGUGUACUGGAUAUUGCUGGUUUUGAAAUUUUCGACUACAACGGUUUCGAACAAUUGUGUAUCAAUUUCACUAACGAAAAACUGCAACAAUUCUUCAACCAUCACAUGUUCGUUUUGGAGCAAGAAGAAUACCAACGUGAAGGCAUUGAAUGGACUUUCAUCGAUUUCGGCAUGGAUUUGCAGAUGUGUAUUGAAUUGAUUGAGAAGCCUAUGGGUAUCUUGUCCAUCCUUGAAGAAGAAUCUAUGUUCCCCAAGGCUACAGAUCAAACAUUCGCCGACAAAUUGGUUAACACUCACUUGGGCAAAUCGGCACCAUUCCAGAAGCCCAAACCACCAAAGCCCGGUCAACAAGCUGCUCACUUUGCUAUUGGCCAUUAUGCUGGUGUUGUCGCCUAUAACAUCACCGGUUGGUUGGAGAAGAACAAGGAUCCAUUGAACGACACUGUUGUCGAUCAAUUCAAGAAAUCUCAGAAUAAGCUGUUGGUCGAAAUCUUCGCUGAUCAUCCAGGUCAAUCUGGUGGUGCGGAACAAGCCAAGGGCGGUCGUGGUAAGAAGGGUGGUGGCUUCGCUACUGUAUCUUCGGCCUACAGGGAACAAUUGAACAGCUUGAUGACCACUUUGCGUUCAACACAACCUCACUUCGUGCGUUGUAUCAUUCCCAAUGAAAUGAAACAACCUGGUCUUGUAGAUGCUCACUUGGUUAUGCACCAGCUGACAUGUAACGGUGUACUUGAAGGUAUCCGUAUUUGCCGUAAAGGUUUCCCCAACAGAAUGGUGUACUCUGAUUUCAAGAUGCGCUACCAAAUCCUGAACCCAAGAGGCAUCAAAGACUUGGAAGAUCCCAAAAAAGCCAGUAAGAUUCUGAUCGAAUCUACUGAAUUGGGUGAUGAUCAAUACCGUCUGGGUAACACUAAGGUGUUCUUCCGCGCUGGCGUCCUGGGUCAGAUGGAAGAGUUCCGUGAUGAACGUCUCGGCAAAAUCAUGUCCUGGAUGCAAGGUUGGGCUCGUGGUUACUUGGCCCGUAGGAACUUCAAAAAAUUGCAAGAGCAACGUUUGGCCCUUAAAGUUGUGCAACGCAACUUGCGCAAAUACUUGCAACUCCGCACCUGGCCAUGGUACAAAUUGUGGCAGAAGAUCAAGCCCCUACUCAACGUUACACGCGUUGAGGAUGAGAUUGCUCGUCUAGAAGAGAAGGCCAAAAAGGCUGAGGAAUUGCACGCCGCUGAAGUGAAAGUUCGCAAGGAAUUGGAAGCCCUCAACGCUAAGCUGUUGGCUGAAAAGACUGCCCUUUUGGACUCCUUGUCCGGUGAGAAGGGUCAAUUGCAAGAUUUCCAGGAGAGAAACGCUAAGUUGACUGCCCAAAAGAACGAUCUCGAGAACCAACUGCGCGAUAUCCAAGAUCGUUUGAGCCAAGAGGAAGAUGCCCGUAACCAAUUGUUCCAACAGAAGAAGAAGGCUGAUCAAGAAAUCUCUGGCCUGAAGAAGGACAUUGAAGAUCUCGAAUUGAGCGUACAGAAGGCUGAACAAGAUAAGGCUACCAAGGAUCACCAAAUCCGCAAUUUGAAUGAUGAGAUCGCCCACCAAGAUGAACUCAUCAACAAGUUGAACAAGGAGAAGAAGAUGCAAGGUGAGACCAACCAGAAGACUGGUGAGGAACUCCAAGCCGCUGAAGACAAAAUUAACCACUUGAACAAGGUUAAGGCUAAGUUGGAGCAAACUCUUGAUGAAUUAGAAGAUUCAUUGGAGCGUGAGAAGAAAUUGCGUGGAGAUGUUGAAAAGGCAAAACGCAAGGUUGAGGGUGAUUUGAAACUUACCCAGGAAGCCGUAUCCGAUUUGGAACGUAACAAGAAGGAAUUGGAACAGACCAUCCAACGCAAGGACAAAGAAUUGUCUUCGAUCACCGCCAAAUUGGAAGAUGAACAGGUGGGUGUUGGCAAACACCAACGUCAAAUCAAGGAAUUGCAAGCCCGCAUUGAAGAAUUGGAAGAAGAAGUUGAAGCUGAACGUCAAGCCCGCGCUAAGGCUGAGAAGCAACGCGCUGAUUUGGCUCGCGAAUUGGAGGAAUUGGGUGAGCGCCUGGAAGAAGCCGGUGGUGCUACCUCUGCCCAAAUUGAACUCAACAAGAAACGUGAAGCCGAACUCAGCAAAUUGCGUCGUGACUUGGAAGAAGCCAACAUUCAGCACGAAUCCACCUUGGCCAACUUGCGCAAGAAGCACAAUGAUGCUGUCGCUGAAAUGGCCGAACAAGUUGAUCAACUUAACAAACUGAAGGCUAAGGCUGAAAAGGAGAAGAACGAAUACUAUGGUCAAUUGAACGACCUCCGCGCUGGUGUUGACCACCUCGCCAACGAGAAGGCUGCACAAGAAAAGAUUGCCAAGCAAUUGCAACACACCUUGAAUGAAGUUCAAGGCAAAUUGGACGAAACCAAUCGCACCCUCAACGACUUCGAUGCCUCCAAGAAGAAGCUGUCGAUCGAAAACUCCGAUCUGUUGCGUCAAUUGGAGGAAGCUGAAUCGCAGGUGUCGCAAUUGUCUAAGAUCAAGAUCUCCCUCACCACCCAAUUGGAAGAUACUAAGCGUUUGGCUGAUGAAGAAUCUCGCGAACGUGCCACCCUCUUGGGCAAGUUCCGCAACUUGGAACACGACCUGGACAAUCUGCGCGAGCAGGUAGAAGAGGAAGCUGAAGGCAAGGCUGAUUUGCAACGUCAACUCAGCAAGGCCAACGCUGAGGCUCAAGUAUGGCGCAGCAAGUACGAAUCCGAUGGUGUUGCUCGCUCUGAAGAAUUGGAAGAAGCCAAGAGGAAAUUGCAAGCUCGCUUGGCUGAAGCUGAGGAAACCAUUGAAUCUCUUAACCAGAAAUGCAUUGGUCUUGAGAAGACUAAGCAACGCUUGGCUACUGAAGUAGAAGAUUUGCAAUUGGAAGUCGACCGUGCCAAUGCUAUUGCCAAUGCUGCUGAAAAGAAACAGAAGGCCUUCGACAAGAUCAUUGGAGAAUGGAAACUUAAGGUUGAUGACUUGGCUGCUGAAUUGGAUGCCUCACAAAAGGAAUGCCGCAACUAUUCCACCGAAUUGUUCCGUCUCAAGGGUGCCUACGAAGAAGGUCAAGAACAAUUGGAAGCCGUACGCCGUGAGAACAAGAAUCUCGCUGAUGAAGUUAAGGAUCUGCUAGACCAAAUCGGUGAAGGUGGUCGCAACAUUCACGAAAUCGAAAAGGCACGCAAACGUUUGGAAGCUGAAAAGGAUGAACUCCAAGCUGCACUCGAGGAAGCUGAAGCCGCCCUGGAACAAGAAGAGAACAAGGUAUUGCGCGCACAAUUGGAAUUGUCUCAAGUACGUCAAGAAAUCGACCGACGCAUCCAGGAGAAGGAAGAAGAAUUCGAAAAUACCCGCAAGAAUCACCAACGCGCUCUCGAUUCCAUGCAAGCUUCUCUUGAAGCCGAAGCCAAGGGUAAGGCUGAGGCGCUACGCAUGAAGAAGAAGUUGGAAGCCGAUAUCAACGAGCUGGAAAUUGCCCUGGAUCAUGCCAACAAGGCUAACGCCGAGGCCCAGAAGAACAUCAAACGUUACCAACAACAGCUUAAGGAUAUCCAAACCGCCCUUGAAGAAGAACAGAGAGCCCGUGAUGAUGCCCGCGAACAAUUGGGUAUCUCCGAACGCCGCGCCAACGCCCUCCAAAACGAACUCGAAGAAUCCCGCACUUUGCUUGAGCAAGCCGAUCGUGGCCGUCGUCAAGCCGAACAAGAAUUGGCCGAUGCUCACGAACAACUCAACGAAGUUUCCGCACAGAAUGCUUCUAUUUCAGCGGCCAAGAGGAAGUUGGAAUCUGAACUGCAAACACUCCACUCCGAUUUAGAUGAAUUGCUGAAUGAAGCCAAGAACUCCGAAGAAAAGGCCAAGAAGGCUAUGGUUGAUGCUGCCCGCCUUGCUGAUGAACUCCGCGCUGAACAAGAUCACGCACAGACCCAAGAGAAACUGCGCAAGGCCUUGGAACAACAAAUCAAGGAAUUGCAAGUCCGUUUGGAUGAGGCUGAAGCUAACGCACUCAAGGGUGGCAAGAAAGCUAUCCAAAAAUUGGAACAACGUGUCCGCGAAUUGGAGAACGAAUUGGAUGGUGAACAGAGGAGACAUGCUGAUGCCCAAAAGAAUCUCCGCAAAUCUGAGCGUCGUAUCAAGGAAUUGAGCUUCCAAUCUGAAGAAGAUCGCAAGAAUCACGAACGUAUGCAAGACUUGGUCGAUAAACUGCAACAGAAGAUCAAGACCUACAAGAGGCAAAUCGAGGAAGCCGAAGAAAUUGCUGCCCUUAACUUGGCCAAAUUCCGCAAGGCACAGCAAGAACUCGAAGAAGCUGAGGAACGUGCUGACUUGGCCGAACAGGCUAUCAGCAAAUUCCGCGCUAAGGGACGUGCCGGUUCAGUUGGACGUGGUGCCAGCCCAGCGAAUUGAAUUCGGUAUAGCCAAUGAUCCAGCGAUAAAAUGGUGAUGUGAUCAAACACAACACAUGAGAAGCAAAUGCAAAGAGAAUUAUAGUUCAUAAGCAGCCAAAAACUGAAAAUCUAAAAUAAUUUAUGAAAUUAAAAACUAAUUACGCCAUCUAACAUUCAAUUUAUUUUUCAUCAUGAAAAGAGCAUUAUAGAAAAUUUUAGUUGAAUUAGUCAUGGUAACAUCGAUAAAAACAAAGAAUUAAAAAUUGAAAUAAUAUUUAAAUUUAUUUAAAUAACAAAAAAAAAUUGAAUAAAUCUACUUUUAUAUUAUUAAAUAUGUAUGUGUAAACUGUAGCCGACAUCGUCAAAAGGUGGCCGCCAGAAUACGCUGGACCAAUAACUACUUCUCAUUACAUUUCCCCGAGCGAUGUCCGUACGGCCACAACUCGACGGAUUGGCUUUCCCACCAAGAUUCGACCUUGCACCGGAAAACGAAUUCUAAAUGCCAUUUCUAUACUUCGUUUAUAAAAACAUUAUUUUAAAAUAAUAUUUCAUAAUUAUUUGUUAUGUUUAAUUUAAUUUAAACUAUUUACAAUAUUUUUUGUUUAAUUAAUUUAAAUAAAACAAAAAACAUGUAUAAUUCGAACGACGGGAGGAAAAUGCACUUAGGCAAAAACAUCUCUUAAAAAAUAAAUAAAAAUACCAAAAACAAACAACAAAGAAAUGUAAAACAACAAAAAACAUAAGCACAUAAAAAAACCAACAUUAGCAUAAGCUCA